This 395-nucleotide ribosomal RNA is filed under the name uncultured bacterium. RNAcentral's name for it is "partial 16S ribosomal RNA". It matches the Rfam family "Bacterial small subunit ribosomal RNA", at positions 523 to 918 of the family's 1533-position model. The record is from RNAcentral.
AUACGUAGGGUGCAAGCGUUAAUCGGAAUUACUGGGCGUAAAGCGUGCGCAGGCGGUUUUGUAAGACAGGGGUGAAAUCCCCGGGCUAAACCUGGGAACUGCCAUUGUGACUGCAAGGCUGGAGUGCGGCAGAGGGGGGUGGAAUUCCGCGUGGAGGAGUGAAAUGCGUAGAUAUGCGGAGGAACACCGAUGGGGAAGGCAAUCCCCUGGGCCUGCACUGACGCUCAUGCACGAAAGCGUGGGGAGCAAACAGGAUUAGAUACCCUGGUAGUCCACGCCCUAAACGAUGUCAACUGGUUGUUGGGGAUUUAUUUUCUCAGUAACGAAGCUAACGCGUGAAGUUGACCGCCUGGGGAGUACGGCCGCAAGGUUAAAACUCAAAGGAAUUGACGGGG